Molecule: ribosomal RNA, 425 nt
Filed under: uncultured bacterium
Lineage: Bacteria
Description: partial 16S ribosomal RNA
Rfam family: Bacterial small subunit ribosomal RNA
Source: RNAcentral
GUGGGGAAUAUUGGACAAUGGGCGAAAGCCUGAUCCAGCAAUGCCGCGUGAGUGAUGAAGGCCUUAGGGUUGUAAAGCUCUUUUACCCGGGAGGAUAAUGACAGUACAGGGAGAAUAAGCUCCGGCUAACUCCGUGCCAGCAGCCGCGGUAAUACGGAGGGAGCUAGCGUUGUUCGGACUUACUGGGCGUAAAGCGCACGUAGGCGGCGAUUCAAGUCAGAGGUGAAAGCCCGGGGCUCAACCCCGGAACUGCCUUUGAAACUAGAGUGCUAGAGUCUUGGAGAGGCGAGUGGAAUUCCGAGUGUAGAGGUGAAAUUCGUAGAUAUUCGGAAGAACACCAGUGGCGAAGGCGACUGACUGGACAAGUAUUGACGCUGAGGUGCGAAAGCGUGGGGAGCAAACAGGAUUAGAAACCCGAGUAGUCC